AUGCAGUCUAUGGCUUUGGAAGUUAGGCAUCCAAACAACACAUUGCAGGCUCUGUCAAGCUCCUCUCCCCCCACAGCUGUGACCCUUCAUGACAGAGAGCCAUGGCAGAGCAUAUGUUUCUCAACAUAUAUCGAGUGUCAUUACCAAACAGGAGUCCAGAGAGGACCCAGGGCCUGGCUCAGGCUUUUAAAUCACCUAUCUCUCACAAGAACCGACUUCAGGAAACAGGUGACCCCCUUCAGAAGGUACACCCCGGUAACUCCCAGAAAUCCCACCACCUUCCAGUGUCUUCCACCUGGAGACAGGCCAGUGUCUGACCCAUGAACCUCCGAGAGAGGUACAACCCAACCGGUACCUAAGACAUACGGUGUGAGAGUCUUCUCCAGUCUGCACGCUGUCAGCGGUGACGAUCCGGACCCUAACUGUGAGGACAGUUGCCUUAAAGGUUCUUGGGGACUUUUGCAGGUCUCUCAGGAGUAAGAGGAUGAAAAGUCAACCUUGUCUGAUUUUAAACCUGUGCUGCUCGCUGUAGAGUUCUUUUGCCAGUAGCUAGAGGAAGCCUGAGGCCCAUGCUGGGUUGUCCUCUCCCCAGAGCCUUUGCUUACUUUGCUAGCCCUGGCCUUCCUCCAUGUUCUGCAUGAUCUCUUACAGGGCCUCCCAGGUGCUGCCAGGCCCAGCCAGAAGCCAGAUAGUCACCAGAAGCUCUGAUUGUAGGAUAAGCGGGUCCUGUGUGGUCUUGCCCACCUCUUCUACAAUCUGAGUACCAUCUCCUUUCCCGCUGCCAUGGCUGUCAUUCGGCGGGUCACCCCCGUGCUGGGGGCCAGUGGAGCCCAUGUGCCUCACAGCUGGCAGGUCUUCCUCCUUCCUGUCCUCCCUCCCUCCCUCCCUGUGCUGCUGGCUGUUGCACACAGUCCUCAUUUCAUGCAGAUUUGCUCUGAUUCCUUUCAGACCAGGGAGUACUAGCUUGUUUGCGUCAAAACUCAUAGGCUGCCAAUGUCCUGGAGCACUUGGGCCUUGCCUCGCAUGGACUUUGGUGGCUAGCUAACUAUAGGCCAAGGAAGGCAAGACCCAGAGUCAAAGACAGCAUUUAGGUGACAAACCAGACUGGAAAGGGGCAGACUGACUCUGGAUGGCUGCAUUAUUCUUCCUGAUCUCUGCCUGGAGAGCAUAGGAAUAUGGAGCCCUGAAGCAGGAGAGAUCUUAGAGGCCAUUUCUUUCCAGUCACAUCCAAAGAGGCACAUGACUUGCUCUGAGUUGCCAGCUCCAAGGGCCAGAGUGCAAACUAGAACCCGGGCCUCUUGCCUCCCAGAACAGAUCCACAGAUAAGAUCUGCUCACUCCGAAGGUCUGGAUAGUGUGGUGAACGUACCAGAACCAGCCCGUGCUGUAGGAUUUCUCCUACCAAGUCUUGCAAAGGGAUACUGAUUUCUUCAUAGUAGGAAGCCUUUGCAUUUGGCUCACAGAAUCAGAAAAGCAGACGACAAUUGGCUGACACCAACCGCUGAGAUCCCAGGGCCAGCUCCCUACGUGGGUAAGACUGUCCCUUUGCAUACAUUUCGUUUAUGUGGCUCAGGCUCAGCCGGCAUUCUGACCAAGCCCACAUAAAGCUGGUACUAGACUGCUUGGACUCUGUUCCAUGCCUUUUAUUCCUUACCGCUAACAUUGUCCCCAUGCCCAAGCUGGACAUGAGAGAGCUGGGGUACCCUCCUGCUUCCCCUUCUAUUUACCAUGCAUCUCAUGUGUCUUGCACUGGUGGGGCCUGGGCCAUCUGGUCAUUGAAUAAGUAGUCAGCUGCAGGCCAUUUUCCACAGGGAAAACAUGGUGUUUCAAGGGCUCUAAAGGGGGAGAGCUGUUCAUGUCUGUCGUAGUGCCUGGCAGGGGGUAGCUAAAGGCACUGCUCUUUCCAGAACAGUCCCUUUGGGCUGGGUCACCGUUCCAGGUCUUUGUGGCUUUUCUCAUUUCCCUGCACAGAAGCCACGCCUCUGAGCCGGGUGCUUCUGUGAUGCUCUCCUGUUGACAGGUGAAGAGAGGCAUGGAGUCUGUGAGCAGAGCGCCCAAGGUCACAUACCUCCCGAGUGAAAGCCAGGCUGCAAGCCCAGCCAGCACCUGAAGAGCCUUUGUCCCUGGCCAACCUGAGUGUCACGAGGACGGAGCCUUCGUCUGGUUAACCGUGGGGAGAAAGAUCCAACAUAGAGAGGGGCCAGAGCCCGCUACGGCCCUCCAGGAAAGCAAAGCUAAGGCUUGCCUUGUAAGGUAGCACAGGGCCUUUCCCCCAGAAAGAGCUGACCUAGAAAUGUCUCGGCAGCCUCAGGGGCUUGGUGGAUGGACCCCUUGGCUUCCUCUUCCAGGUCUCUGUUUAAUGAUGGCUCGAACUCCUUUUUCUCUUUCUGGUUAGCCAGACCAGAAAUCAAUAUAAGCUUGACUCUAGUCCCUAAAACUGUUUACCUGCCUAGAAACAUGUCUGCUUUGUUGUUUUUAGACAGAUGCAGAUUAGAAGUAUAUGGGCUCGCCCACACCCAUGGAUCAGGCACAAACCGUGGGUACACUCUGUAACAGGAAGCUGCUGGUUUUCCAUUCCAGAGAACUGGAACUCACUCAGAAAUUUGUCAUUUGCAAGGUCCAACCCUCACCACAUUCCACUGCUGUUUCUGAGGACUUCCAGUCACCUGGGUUGUGAGGAAGCAAGCGGGUGGGUAAGGCCCUGUUGGCAGAACUAGAGUGGUAUGUUCUCCAAGUCUAGCGACUUCCCAGUGACCCCAGCCUGGCUCUGCCUGGCCCAGUCCACUCUGUAGCGUGUUGCCUUUGGAUCGACACAGUGCAGACAAGAGGCUUAUUUUAGAACUGGAAAGAGGGCAGACGUAUCAAUAAAAAGCCAGGGAAGGAACGAUCCAUUCAGUGGUUUUAAAAUAUCUCUUCCUCAACAGAAAAAGAUUAUUUUUGUUUCUUAAAAAACAACUGGUAAAUUUUCCCCCCAGUUGAAAAGAGAAACAUAGGAGACUUUUUAAA
RNAcentral lists this long non-coding RNA (3005 nucleotides) under Mus musculus (house mouse). RNAcentral describes it as "long non-coding RNA chr7:49255651-49258656". The record is from RNAcentral. Lineage: Eukaryota; Metazoa; Chordata; Mammalia; Rodentia; Muridae.